AUUGAACGCUGGCGGCAUGCCUUACACAUGCAAGUCGAACGGCAGCACGGGAGCAAUCCUGGUGGCGAGUGGCGAACGGGUGAGUAAUACAUCGGAACGUGCCCAGUAGUGGGGGAUAACCCGGCGAAAGCCGGACUAAUACCGCAUACGACCUACGGGUGAAAGCAGGGGAUCGCAAGACCUUGCGCUAUCGGAGCGGCCGAUGUCAGAUUAGCUAGUUGGUGGGGUAAAAGCCUACCAAGGCGACGAUCUGUAGCUGGUCUGAGAGGACGACCAGCCACACUGGGACUGAGACACGGCCCAGACUCCUACGGGAGGCAGCAGUGGGGAAUUUUGGACAAUGGGCGCAAGCCUGAUCCAGCCAUGCCGCGUGCGGGAAGAAGGCCU
Molecule: ribosomal RNA, 387 nt
Filed under: uncultured bacterium
Lineage: Bacteria
Description: bacterial SSU rRNA
Rfam family: Bacterial small subunit ribosomal RNA
Source: RNAcentral